GACGAACGCUGGCGGCGUGCCUAACACAUGCAAGUCGAACGAAGCAUUUGGAGCUGAUCUCUUCGGAGUGACGCGCCUUAUGACUUAGUGGCGGACGGGUGAGUAACACGUGAGCAACCUGCCUCUCAGAGUGGAAUAACAGUUGGAAACGGCUGCUAAUACCGCAUAACGUCAUUUUGCCGCAUGACAGAGUGACCAAAGAUUUAUCGCUGAGAGAUGGGCUCGCGUCCGAUUAGGUAGAUGGUGGGUAACGGCCUACCAUGCCGACGAUCGGUAGCCGGACUGAGAGGUUGAUCGGCCACAUUGGGACUGAGACACGGCCCAGGACUCCUACGGGAGGCAGCAGUGGGGAUAUUGCACAAUGGGCGCAAGCCUGAUGCAGCAACGCCGCGUGCGGGAAGACGGCCUCGGUUGUAACCGCUGUCUUGGGAAGAAACAAAUGACGGUACCCAAGAAGGAAGCCACGGCUAACGUACGU
Molecule: ribosomal RNA, 478 nt
Filed under: uncultured bacterium
Lineage: Bacteria
Description: bacterial SSU rRNA
Rfam family: Bacterial small subunit ribosomal RNA
Source: RNAcentral